This 492-nucleotide ribosomal RNA is filed under the name uncultured bacterium. RNAcentral describes it as "partial 16S ribosomal RNA". It matches the Rfam family "Bacterial small subunit ribosomal RNA", at positions 30 to 507 of the family's 1533-position model. The record is from RNAcentral.
AUUGAACGCUGGCGGCAUGCUUUACACAUGCAAGUCGAACGGUAACAGGCCUUCGGGUGCUGACGAGUGGCGAACGGGUGAGUAAUGCAUCGGAACGUGCCCAGAGGUGGGGGAUAACGCAGCGAAAGCUGUGCUAAUACCGCAUGUGAUCUGAGGAUGAAAGCGGGGGACCAGGCAGCAAUGUUUGGCCUCGCGCCUUUGGAGCGGCCGAUGUCAGAUUAGGUAGUUGGUGGGGUAAAGGCCUACCAAGCCGACGAUCUGUAGCUGGUCUGAGAGGACGAUCAGCCACACUGGGACUGAGACACGGCCCAGACUCCUACGGGAGGCAGCAGUGGGGAAUUUUGGACAAUGGGCGCAAGCCUGAUCCAGCAAUGCCGCGUGCGGGAAGAAGGUCUUCGGGUUGUAAACCGCUUUUGUACGGAACGAAAAGGCGCUGGCUAAUACCUGGGGCUGAUGACGGUACCGUAAGAAUAAGCACCGGCUAACUACGUG